RNAcentral lists this ribosomal RNA (468 nucleotides) under uncultured bacterium. RNAcentral describes it as "partial 16S ribosomal RNA". It matches the Rfam family "Bacterial small subunit ribosomal RNA", at positions 28 to 507 of the family's 1533-position model. The record is from RNAcentral.
GAUGAACGCUGGCGGCGUGCUUAAUACAUGCAAGUCGAACGGUCAAGGCGGGACUUUCCUUCCUGGACCAGUGGCGAACGGGUGAGUAUCACGUGUGCAUUCCCCCCCUGUCUCACUGAUAUGCGCUGGAAACGCCGUCUCAUACUCGAUACGAUCUGUUGAAGCAUCUUCAUCAACUGUAAAGAAUGUCCGUCAGGGCUCGUCUCGCUGCCUAUCAGCUUGUUUGUGGGGUAAUGGCUGACCAAGCGUUCGACGGCUACCCGGCCUGGGAGGGUGACCGGCCACAAUGGGACUGAGACACGGCGCAGACUGCUACGGGAGGCAGAAGUGGGGAAUAUUGCACAAUGGGGGAAAGUCUGAUGCAGCAAUGCCGCGAGAGGGACGACGGGCUACGGGGUAUAAACCUAUUUUUGAGGGGAAGAAGCGAAAGUGACGGUACCUGCAGAAAAAGCGCCGGCUAACUACGUG